AAGAGACGUUGCCCUUCGGGGUAUACCUCCCACCCUUUGUUUAUUAUACCUUUGUUGCUUGGCGGGCCCGUCCUCGGACCACCGGCUUCUGCUGGUCAGUGCCCGCCAGAGGACCUAAAACUCUGUUUGUUAAUAUUGUCUGAGUACUAUAUAAUAGUUA
RNAcentral lists this unclassified non-coding RNA (160 nucleotides) under soil metagenome. Its description in RNAcentral is "partial internal transcribed spacer 1". The record is from RNAcentral.